Molecule: transfer RNA, 85 nt
Filed under: Stachyamoeba lipophora
Lineage: Eukaryota; Heterolobosea; Gruberellidae
Description: tRNA-Leu
Rfam family: tRNA
About the family: Transfer RNA (tRNA) molecules are approximately 80 nucleotides in length.
Source: RNAcentral
ACUCACUUGGUGGAACUGGCAGACACGACAGACUUAAAAUCUGUUCUUUUUUUCAAAGGUGUGAGUUCAAGUCUCACAGUGAGUA